RNAcentral lists this ribosomal RNA (443 nucleotides) under uncultured bacterium. RNAcentral's name for it is "partial 16S ribosomal RNA". It matches the Rfam family "Bacterial small subunit ribosomal RNA", at positions 338 to 795 of the family's 1533-position model. The record is from RNAcentral.
CCUACGGGUGGCAGCAGUGGGGAAUAUUGGGCAAUGGGCGCAAGCCUGACCCAGCAACGCCGCGUGAAGGAAGAAGGCCCUCGGGUUGUAAACUUCUUUUAUCAGGGACGAAACAAAUGACGGUACCUGAUGAAUAAGCCACGGCUAACUACGUGCCAGCAGCCGCGGUAAUACGUAGGUGGCAAGCGGUAUCCGGAUUUACUGGGUGUAAAGGGCGUGUAGGCGGGAGAGAAAGUCUGACGUGAAAUUCCAGGGCUGAACCCUGGAACUGCGUUGGAAACUGUUCUUCUGGAGUGAGGGAGAGGCAGGCGGAAUUCCGUGUGUAGCGGUGAAAUGCGUAGAUAUACGGAGGAACACCAGUGGCGAAGGCGGCCUGCUGGACAUUAACUGACGCUGAGGCGCGAAAGCGUGGGGAGCAAACAGGAUUAGAUACCCGGGUAGUC